RNAcentral lists this ribosomal RNA (253 nucleotides) under uncultured bacterium. RNAcentral describes it as "partial 16S ribosomal RNA". It matches the Rfam family "Bacterial small subunit ribosomal RNA", at positions 524 to 776 of the family's 1533-position model. The record is from RNAcentral.
UACGUAGGUGACCAGCGUUGUCCGGAUUUACUGGGCGUAAAGAGCGCGCAGGCGGUCGUUCAAGUCGAGUGUGAAAGCCCCCGGCUCAACUGGGGAGGGUCACUCGAUACUGAUCGACUUGAAGGCAGGAGAGGGAAGCGGAAUUCCCGGUGUAGCGGUGAAAUGCGCAGAUAUCAGGAGGAACACCGGUGGCGAAGGCGGGUCUCUGGGCAGUAACUGACGCUGAGGAGCGAAAGCGUGGGGAGCGAACAGG